This 346-nucleotide unclassified non-coding RNA is filed under the name soil metagenome. RNAcentral's name for it is "partial contains 5.8S ribosomal RNA, internal transcribed spacer 2, and large subunit ribosomal RNA". The stretch from base 1 to 120 matches the Rfam family "5.8S ribosomal RNA", at positions 35 to 154 of the family's 154-position model. The record is from RNAcentral.
GAUGAAGAACUUAGCGAAAUGCGAUAAGUAGUGUGAAUUGCAGAAUUCAGUGAAUCAUCGAAUCUUUGAACGCACAUUGCGCCCGCCAGUAUUCUGGCGGGCAUGCCUGUUCGAGCGUCAUUUCAACCCUCAAGCCCUCGGGUUUGGUGUUGGGGAUCGGCGAGCCUUUCUGGCAAGCCGGCCCCGAAAUCUAGUGGCGGUCUCGCUGCAGCCUCCAUUGCGUAGUAGUAAAACCCUCGCAACUGGAACGCGGCGCGGCCAAGCCGUUAAACCCCCAACUUCUGAAUGUUGACCUCGGAUCAGGUAGGAAUACCCGCUGAACUUAAGCAUAUCAAUAAGCGGAGGA